RNAcentral lists this ribosomal RNA (437 nucleotides) under Ephedrus lacertosus. Its description in RNAcentral is "eukaryotic LSU rRNA". Lineage: Eukaryota; Metazoa; Arthropoda; Insecta; Hymenoptera; Braconidae. The record is from RNAcentral.
GAGUACGUGAAACCGUUCAGGGGUAAACCUGAGAAACCCAAAAGAUCGAAUGGGGAGAUUCAUCGUCAGCAUAUUUAAUAUAUAUAUGAGUUAUGAUGUAGAUUAUGUUUAAUGUUUUACAUUAAUCUAAUUUGCACGUACUUGUAUUAUUUUAUUGUUAAAUAUUGUCGUCGUGCACUUCUCCCCUAGUAGGACGUCGCGACCCGUUGAGUGUCGGUUUACGGCCUAAUUGUGUUGCCUUUAAUAGUAAAAUAUUAAAGACCAAUUGGUGUUUCCUAACCGGCUGCUUGGCGGUACUCGUACGGUAUUGAGUCGCAAAUUUAUUUGCGUUACACCCAUAUACAACUAUUAGUUGUUAUGGUGUUCUGUAACUGGCUCACAAUAUAUAUUACCGGUCGGCGACGCUACUGCUUUGGGUACUUUCAGGACCCGUCUUG